This 74-nucleotide transfer RNA is filed under the name Verrucomicrobiota bacterium. Its description in RNAcentral is "Verrucomicrobia bacterium (activated sludge metagenome) tRNA-Arg". It matches the Rfam family "tRNA". Rfam says of the family: Transfer RNA (tRNA) molecules are approximately 80 nucleotides in length. Their secondary structure includes four short double-helical elements and three loops (D, anti-codon, and T loops). The record is from RNAcentral. RNAcentral also lists the same sequence under 4 other names. Lineage: Bacteria; Pseudomonadati; Verrucomicrobiota.
GCACCGGUAGCUCAGUUGGAUAGAGUACAUGGCUACGAACCAUGGGGUCAGAGGUUCAAAUCCUCUCCGGUGCG